This 446-nucleotide ribosomal RNA is filed under the name uncultured bacterium. RNAcentral describes it as "SSU rRNA". It matches the Rfam family "Bacterial small subunit ribosomal RNA", at positions 26 to 518 of the family's 1533-position model. The record is from RNAcentral.
AGGAUGAACGCUGGCGGUCUGCUUAACACAUGCAAGUCGAACGGGCGUAGCAAUACGUUAGUGGCGGACGGGUGAGUAACGCGUGAGAAUCUACCUUCAGGACGGAGACAACAGUUGGAAACGACUGCUAACCCCCGAUGUACCGAAAGGGCAAAUAUUUAUAGCCUGAAGAAGAGCUCGCGUCCGAUUAGCUAGUUGGAGAGGUAAAAGCUCACCAAGGCGACGAUCGGUAGCUGGUCUGAGAGGACGAUCAGCCACACUGGGACUGAGACACGGCCCAGACUCCUACGGGAGGCAGCAGUGGGGAAUUUUCCGCAAUGGGCGAAAGCCUGACGGAGCAAGACCGCGUGGGGAAGAAGGCUCUUGGGUUGUAAACCCCUUUUGUCAGGGAAGAACAAUGACGGUACCUGACGAAUAAGCCCGGCUAACUACGCGCCAGCAGCCGC